This is a long non-coding RNA of Acanthaster planci (crown-of-thorns starfish), 1119 nucleotides long. The record is from RefSeq and is a predicted model, not a curated record. NCBI's taxonomy places the organism in Eukaryota, Metazoa, Echinodermata, Asteroidea, Valvatida, Acanthasteridae.
AGGGCGCCCAAGCCGACUCAAUGCAUGUAUUGAGCUGCUGCGCUGUACACGGUGGAGGUGAUGGUAUUCCUGUUGGAAUUAAUGAAGUCGGUGACUCCGUGAGAGAGCGUCGACAGUUGGUGUUCAUGUGGCUGCAUGGAACUAGACUGAGUGUUUGCUUAUAGUGCAUUCAUUGAUUGAGUGCAAAAAAAGAUGGCAAGUCUGUCCCGGUUUGGCGCACGGAAUUCUCUCAUCAUUGCUGGCUUUGUUGGCUUUAUUGGCCUCGCUCUCUAUCCUAUUGUUAUCUCUCCAAUUUUUAAUCCCAAGAAAUGGCAAGAUGUACAGAAAGAAACAAGAAAGGGCAUUGAUCAAAAAAGCGUCCAACCAGGUGGUAUGAGAGUAUGGAGUGAUCCCUUCAAACCAAGAGUGGAUAAACCGACAGAUGGCAAGACGUCUUGAUUACACCUCCAUGUACAGACUGCUGUCUUUUAAACAGUCUUUAUAUUCUUUUUGUGGAGCUGUAAACUUGUGGAUAAUAAUAGUUGUAAAUAUCAGGUUCAGGCCGUGGGUACCAGAGGAUGGCAAGGCCAAUGUCAUUUUAAGGAGAAAUUCUGUCAGCUCUUUACUAAUUAAUGUUAGCGGACGUGUAUACCCACAGCAGCCUUUUAGUGACAGCUUUACAGAGGACAUGUACAAAUCUGGCAAUGCUUGUUCACAGUGGCAAGUGGGACUAAACUCUAAUUUCUCAUUACUUUGAUACGUACAUGUAGAUAUGUACAUGGUCUGUCCUUGAAGCAUGCAGUGUUCUGAGUAGGUAUCAUUUAUUUUUCAUGAAGUGCAUUAGUAGAAAUUGAAAAGCACUGCAAAAAUUUCAUUCUCUUUGACUUCUAUAACUUCAGCCGCAAGCUUGACUAUUGCGCAUGUAGUGAUUUACUGUUACCAGCUGAUACAAGAAUGUGCAGCCUAUUGUGGCAGCUCGCAUGUACGUGUAAAUUUAGUAGAAUAAAAUCUGGUUUGCAAUCAGCUCUGUGUGGAUGAACUUCCAAAUUCAGAGACCCAAGAAAUGAUUCCAUUGAAUCUAAAUGUAUAAAGGUGCUGAAUUUCAAUCACCCUUCCCAUUAAAUAUUUAAUAAUAUAACA